AUUGAACGCUGGCGGCAUGCCUUACACAUGCAAGUCGAACGGUGACGCGGGGCAACCUGGCGACGAGUGGCGAACGGGUGAGUAAUGUAUCGGAACGUGCCCCGUUGUGGGGGAUAACUGCUAGAAAGAGCAGCUAAUACCGCAUACGACCUGAGGGUGAAAGCGGGGGAUCGCAAGACCUCGCGCAAUUGGAGCGGUAGAUAUCAGAUUAGGUAGUUGGUGGGGUAAAGGCUCACCAAGCCAACGAUCUGUAGCUGGUCUGAGAGGACGACCAGCCACACUGGGACUGAGACACGGCCCAGACUCCUACGGGAGGCAGCAGUGGGGAAUUUUGGACAAUGGACGCAAGUCUGAUCCAGCCAUGCCGCGUGCGGGAAGAAGGCCUUCGGGUUGUAAACCGCUUUUGUCAGGGAAGAAACGCUCUUGGUUAAUACCUCGGGGUAAUGACGGUACCUGAAGAAUAAGCACCGGCUAACUACGUGCCAGCCGCCGCAGUAA
RNAcentral lists this ribosomal RNA (498 nucleotides) under uncultured bacterium. Its description in RNAcentral is "partial 16S ribosomal RNA". It matches the Rfam family "Bacterial small subunit ribosomal RNA", at positions 30 to 523 of the family's 1533-position model. The record is from RNAcentral.